Molecule: long non-coding RNA, 269 nt
Filed under: Lathyrus oleraceus (garden pea)
Lineage: Eukaryota; Viridiplantae; Streptophyta; Magnoliopsida; Fabales; Fabaceae
Description: Pisum sativum (pea) long non-coding RNA (PSAT_LNC025467)
Source: RNAcentral
AAAGAGAUUGAAAAAGCUCGCUAAGUCAAACACCACAAAAUGACUUAGGCAAAAGUCAGGGCAUCCCGAUGGACCGAAAGCUUCAAAGAAGCGGUCCAGGCAAAAUCAGGGAUAAAGAAAAUCAAUUAAAAGAGGUCACUAAAUCCUCAACAAAAACAAAAUAAGGUGACUGCCAUUCAAGGAAAUCUAUCUUGAACCCUCAUCUUUACCAUCACACCUUCGAACCCUCUUAGAAGUCGAAUGCGUGUGUCGAAUUAACUGAACAUAGG